RNAcentral lists this transfer RNA (68 nucleotides) under Marmota monax (woodchuck). RNAcentral's name for it is "tRNA.Ala". The record is from RNAcentral. Lineage: Eukaryota; Metazoa; Chordata; Mammalia; Rodentia; Sciuridae.
GUUGUGGCUCAGUGGUAGAGUGUUUGCCUAGCACAUGUGAGGCACUGGGUUCUAUUCUCAGCAUUACA